UACGGAGGGUGCGAGCGUUGUCCGGAAUCACUGGGCGUAAAGGGCGCGUAGGCGGCAUGCCAAGCGUGUGGUGAAAGCCCGGGGCUCAACCCCGGGUCGGCCGUGCGGACUGGCGUGCUCGAGCACUGUAGGGGCGGGUGGAAUUCCGGGUGUAGCGGUGGAAUGCGUAGAUAUCGGGAGGAACACCAGUGGCGAAGGCGGUUGCCUGGAGCUUUGCUGACGCUGAUGCGCGAAAGCGUGGGGAGCGAUCCGG
RNAcentral lists this ribosomal RNA (253 nucleotides) under uncultured bacterium. Its description in RNAcentral is "partial 16S ribosomal RNA". It matches the Rfam family "Bacterial small subunit ribosomal RNA", at positions 524 to 776 of the family's 1533-position model. The record is from RNAcentral.